AUACGGAGGGUGCAAGCGUUAAUCGGAAUUACUGGGCGUAAAGCGCGCGUAGGCGGAUUGUUAAGUCUCAUGUGAAAGCCCUGGCUCAACCUGGGAACUGCAUGGGAUACUGGCAAUCUAGAAUACAGUAGAGGGUAGUGGAAUUUCAGGUGUAGCGGUGAAAUGCGUAGAGAUCUGAAGGAACAUCAGUGGCGAAGGCGACUACCUGGACUGAUAUUGACGCUGAGGUGCGAAAGCGUGGGGAGCAAACGGGAUUAGAAACCCUAGUAGUCC
This 273-nucleotide ribosomal RNA is filed under the name uncultured bacterium. RNAcentral describes it as "partial 16S ribosomal RNA". It matches the Rfam family "Bacterial small subunit ribosomal RNA", at positions 523 to 796 of the family's 1533-position model. The record is from RNAcentral.